GCAGGAGGGUGUGAAGGUCAGAGGGUUGUGAUGCAAGGAAAAGGAAGAGAAUCAGAGGCCAAGGGAUCUCGAGAGCUGUGUCAGGAGAGGGCGCGAUGAGGGUCUGGAUGGAGAAGUGGAAGGUUAGGACAGGGAGCGACGAUGUGGGGUCGUGGGCUCUGAGAGGUGAGCUCAGCCUGGCUCUGGGUCAGGGGUUGGUGGGCGGAGCCUGUGGAUUCAGCACAGUGUGUCACAGUGAGAGUGAGGCAGAGACGACUGAACUGGGCCAGCAGCGGACAGGGGACUGAGGAGGGCACGCAGAGCAGAGGGGAUGACUGAGUCCAGCUGGAGGGGUCACAGUGGCAGCUGAGACUGUCACAUGUUCAGGGAAGACUGCUCCUUUGCCAUGUGUGCAGUAACUGCAAAGCAGCAGAGACCUGGAAAUGGGGCCCAGAGGAAGGAGGUUUGGUGAGUCGUCUCCAGCUGGUGGGAGAGUGUGGUGGAGGAGAGGGGGUCUGACAGAUCAGACAGUGAGGAAGGUGAGGCGAUGGCGCCCAGCAGGAGAGGCUUGUUCAGAGCGUCGGGGAACACACUGUGCCCAGAGGGACGGCAGGGAGCUAGGAGCGAGUGGGUGUGGAGAACCUGCCCCAAAGUGGGCCCAGGGCAUGAGGAAGCCCCUGCAGGAGGAAGAGCACAGCGCAGGCCAGGCGAGUGAGGAACUGGGAGAGAUGGGAUACGGCCAGCG
This 724-nucleotide long non-coding RNA is filed under the name Androctonus crassicauda. Lineage: Eukaryota; Metazoa; Arthropoda; Arachnida; Scorpiones; Buthidae. The record is from RNAcentral.